Molecule: non-coding RNA, 90 nt
Filed under: Pseudomonas sp. SJZ074
Lineage: Bacteria; Pseudomonadati; Pseudomonadota; Gammaproteobacteria; Pseudomonadales; Pseudomonadaceae
Also listed under: 1 other name
Source: RNAcentral
UGUGGGAGCGGGCUUGCUCGCGAAAGCGGUGGCACAGUCGGCAUUACUGCAAACUGAUUCACCGCCUUCGCGAGCAAGCCCGCUCCCACA